AGCGAACGCUGGCGGCAGGCUUAACACAUGCAAGUCGAACGCCUGUAGCAAUACAGGAGUGGCAGACGGGAGAGUAACACGUGGGAACGUGCCUUUUGGUCGGAACAACCCAGGGAAACUUGGGCUAAAACCGGAUAAGCCCUUACGGGGAAAGAUUUAUCGCCAAAAGAUCGGCCCGCGUCUGAUUAGCUAGUUGGUGAGGUAACGGCCCACAAGGCGACGAUCAGUAGCUGGUCUGAGAGGAUGAUCAGCCUCAUUGGGACUGAGACACGGCCCAAACUCCUACGGGAGGCAGCAGUGGGGAAUCUUGGACAAUGGGCGCAAGCCUGAUCCAGCCAUGCCGCGUGGGUGAUGAAGGCCCUAGGGUUGUAAAGCCCUUUCGGCGGGAAGAUAAUGACGGUACCCGCAGAAGAAGCCCCGGCUAAC
This 426-nucleotide ribosomal RNA is filed under the name uncultured bacterium. RNAcentral describes it as "bacterial SSU rRNA". It matches the Rfam family "Bacterial small subunit ribosomal RNA", at positions 29 to 501 of the family's 1533-position model. The record is from RNAcentral.